Molecule: non-coding RNA, 29 nt
Filed under: Rattus norvegicus (Norway rat)
Lineage: Eukaryota; Metazoa; Chordata; Mammalia; Rodentia; Muridae
Source: RNAcentral
UGUGAAGUCAGGUGGAUGCCCCACUGAGC